GUACCGUAUUAAAAUAUUGCCGUCUCGUUCUAACAACCUUGACGUAAAAUGUCAUAUGAACUGUCAAAAAAAUAAAAUAUAGAAAAGCUAAUCUACAUUGAAGAUUCGGAUAGAAAACAGGUGUUUUAAGAUUUAUGAAAUUUACACAUAACAUAAAAUAUAGAGGUUUGAGACGUAUACAAAUAUUUCCUGUUUACCAACUUGAAAAAAAAAAACAAUUGUUUGCGAACUUGACUAUAGCUGCAAAUGUUUGUCACGAUUGAAGAGCUGUCAAUUUUAUGCGCACGGUUGAGCCGCCCGCCGGUUAAUCCGUCCCCGGAUAAUCGACGUUCUACUUUGGUUUUGUAGGUCUUAUUUGAUUGGUGUCCGAGCACCGCCUCAUUUUCAAAAUAGUUGAAAUAAGACAGUGGCCUACCCUCGACUGACAGUCGUUGAUUGACUGCUGGUUUGACGUCUGGGGAGCGAAAGCGAACCAGCCUCAUGUACGAUUUCAGAUUCUGCCAAUAGCAUUCUGAAACAACGCGUGUUAACAACACAGUUGACUUCGCGUCCUUUUAACAAAUAAUAGUGCCCUCCUGCCGCUCAAAAAAUAAUGGAAAUAAGUUUGUGUACAUGUGUGUGUGAUGGUGAUAAUGGUGGCAUCUGCUCAUAGCAUUGUACCUGGUCUGGUAGAUGGCUACUGUACCUUCACGAUGAAGACGGUCACCAAUCCGACACCAAGCCGCUUAUCUUUCCCGAGGUUUGCUCACGGAUACACGAAAACGCACACCUUUGCAGUCUAGACGCGAUCGGACGCAGCCGGAUGGAGUACGUAUCGACGGCCACGAUGAAUUGCCUGCUGCUGGAUGACCCGCGAAGCUCGUCAUCCGUUGCCUUCCGGCGAUGCUGAGGUGAGGUUGGGAGGAAGUCUUCGUCCGGCCCUCGAGUAGCGUCUUUCGCUUCUAAGCCACACGCUAUCGUUCGCGCCAACUUGUAAAGGAUCGUAAAACACCCCCUCGCCACCUCAGCCAUCUUUGACGAGGAUAAGGACCGUGUGCGAAAACGACGAAACAGAUAGACGUGGGACAUGGAAAAAGUAAGGAAGAGGCUUGAAAAAAAAGAGCAAAGGCAGGAUGGCAUCGGUUGGGAUCGGGCAUGUUGGGUCAAACUACGAGAGGGAUGCUAAAAGUGGAAGAGUAUAGGGAAAGGAGGGUUUCUGGCACGCAGGUAUAAAUGAAGAACAAAAAAAAAGAAUAAUGAAAAGCCAAGCCGGUUGCUGCUGUCCAAGGCUAAAGUCAUAAACUGAUGAUCCACGAGCGAAAAGCAGCACGAAGCAAAAGCAAAAAUCAAGAAGGGUACAAACAAAAAGAAACAGACAGCGUCUGGAUGGAAGCAUUCCUCGAUGCUAUGGAUGCUGACGAAAUGGUCCGCGAACGCGCUCCGUAUGUAAUAUUCUCGACAUUGUGCUUUAUUAACAAAUCUUACAAACCUUGGGUUAGCAAACAACCGAUCGCUUAUAGUUUAUUUUUGAAAUAACGACUAUCGGUUAUACAGAUUCGUAACAGACUAGCUACUCGUUAUCAUUAGUGGAGACGCAAAAUGUAGAUGUAGAUGCAGACGAAAGCUGUAGUAGAACAGAUUAUGCGUUGUAGGCCACCAGAUAAUCAGAAGACGGUUAAAGCGUGCUACCACUGUUUGUCUCGUUCUAGUUCGCCCGUCGAUCAUUUUGGGGCCGGUAGUUCUAGGUGUGUUGAAAUAGUUGGAGUAGUGCGAAAACAGCAAUAAGGCGAAAGUUUUAGUUCAGCCGCUGAACCUAUCCUCCAUCAUAAUCGCAACACGCCUUCACCGUGUACAACCGGCAAUAGAUGGUAAAUGUGGCUUCGCAUAUAAUACUGUUCUUCUUCCUAGUUUUCCAUCGCCAUCGUCCAUGGCAAGAAUGCGAACUUCUUUCGGAUAGUUCUCGAGUUGUGUCUGCUUCUACAGAAUGUUACCUGCGUACCGGACAAUCCAACCAAUCGUCCUUUGUAGCCUUUCCAAUCGGCAAACACGUUCAUACCGGAUAGGUAGUAGCCAGAUGUUACAGUUUUUCGCGUGAAGAUUUACCUGCCGUAUCUCUUCUGACGUGUCUCUGCUCUUGUACCGCUGUGAUUCCAUCAAAGUCGAAGUUCGGCCUUCAUUUAGGAAAUGUAAGUGGCUUCAGUGGCACCUCCUUAGCUUUCCGACCGAUGAGUGUACACUAAGGUUCUCCCGCAUCGUCGAAUAUCCUCGAAUAUAAGACGCAUGCAUUCGCGUGCCGUCUUGCAUCGACAUUCGCCAAUGCGCAGGUCUUCUAUAGCCGAAAGCUGAUCAAUCUAGCUACGCCAAUCUCUCAACUGCGUGUCAUUAAUCUCCUCAUCCGACUGCGUGCCAGUUCGCCAUAGAUCCUGCCGUGAAUCACGAACAUCGCGAGCAGCCCAAGAGGAUCAUAAAGUGCAAUACCGCAAUACCUCUCUUUUAAACAAGCGACUCGUCAUAACCAGACUCAGGGUUAUCGACUACAUACUCCCAUUCCCUCUGCGUAUUGCCCUCUAAUUUGAGCACAAUUUACUGUGUGAGCAAAAUGCUCCAACCAUAAGGCCUUUCAUCCAAUUGCCCUAGCAUUUUCGCAUGCGUUUCACCACAAUUAAUCAAUGGGCGAAUUCUCACCCAGUUGGGAUUUUUCAUCUUAGAAAACAAAAUAAGCUCGUUCACGUGCUUCUUCUUGAUAAGAUACUUAUUUUUCCACUAAUGCCGACCAAGCUUGCACUGUGGUCAACGGUUCAUCUUUCAAAAAACUUUUGAGGUAAAAAACCCCUUUUCUGUGUUUGACAAUGCACUGUUUUUGUGAACCACCCCGGAGUGUGUGCUGUUCGUCUUCUUAAAUCUUAAAUUUUAGGUUAGAAAGCAAGCGAUUGCUUAUAGUUAAUGGGUCAAUUACCGACUAUCGGUUGCUGAUUUAACCUAACUACUCGAUAGCAUUAUGUUCUUCUGAGUAGAGUUGGCAUUCUGCCUUUGUAAGCAUUUCCAUGCGGCACUCACAAGUCCAACUUGACUGUCGUCGACGCACAGCCCGACUCUAUUGACGAUCAAAUCUAUCGUGUCCAGAAGAUGUUGAAAUUCAUCGAAACUCUAGCUUGGAGGCGCAUACGCGCACUGCACUGUACUUUCGAAGCUGGUACUUUGAAUUAAGCUUUUGGCUAAAUCGUGUAUAGACCAUUUUUUAUUUAAUUCCCAAGAUGUCACAAUAUACAUUUUUUUCGCAGCAAGGAGAAGCGCACCAAACCAAACGUUCUGCGAUCGUGAAACCGAUCGCGUUUAAUUGGCGGCAGAUAGAAAUCAUUUUGUUCGCAUACUGUUCAGUGGAUCCACAGCUCUCAGAGUCGGUUCUUAUUAGCUUAUAAAGCAGAUCUCGCGCUAAGCCCGUUUCUUCAAACGCUUCUUCCACGCUUCUUGAGCUGCUCGUGUAUCCUUUACAUGGUAAUAAUUAUGCAGUUCUAACAGUAAUAUUAUUCUACCUCGCGCUUUCUUAUCUUUUACGGGGUUCACGGCGUCUACUGUUCCGUCGGCUUUCACAACAGGCUCGACGGCGUCCCUCGAGGCGAUUGUGCAGGCCAAUUCAUGACGUCAAUUUUGUGAUCAACAAACCUUUUUUUAACCGCUUUUGCGGUAUGUUUCGGAUCAUUGUCAUGCAUGAAUUGCCAUUUCAGUGGUAUCUCCCACUCUGCAAGAGGCAGCAUGACAGUUUGGAUGAUGUCUUAGUAUCUGUGUUGGUCCAUGAUAUAUUUUAUCCAAAAGAUAGGACCGACACCGUACCAAGAGAAACAUCCCAAAACCAUGAUGUUGCCUCCGCCGUGCUUCACGGUUUUUACAGUGUACUGUGGCCGGAAGGCGGUAUACAAUGGACGACGCAACCAGCGUUUCCCAUCCGAACCUACCAAAUUCACUUUGGACUCAUCCAACCACAGUACAUUUCGCCACUUGUUCAGGUUUUCACCUGCCCAGUCGUAGUGCUCUUGAGCAAGCUGCAACCGGGCUUGAACUGUUUUGGAUCGGUCAAGUAUUUCCGCGGAUUUGGAGCGGAGCUUUCUCAACUCUUUAAGAAUUGGAGAGGUCCAGUUCCUCCCCUCAAAUCCGCCGUUCCUAAAAAUAUCCCUUACAUCAAGCGAUAUCUGACACGCCGCUUCUUCUUCCGUCUUGAAGCUGUCCAGAUAGUCGCCAACGUAAGUGCUUUCGAUAAUUCCCUCCAUUGUAUAGGCAUUGAUGUUUGCGGAUCUCUUCGAUGAGUUUCGGAGUGUGUGCUGUUCGUCUUUUUAAAUCUUAGGUUAGAAAGCAAGCGAUUGCUUAUAGUUAAUGGGUCAAAUACCGACUAUCGGUAUCCGACUUAACCUAGUUACUCGUUAUUACUGUGCUCUUUUGAGUAGAGUUGGCAUUCUGCCCUAAUAAGUAUUUCCAUUAUGAUAAGUCGUGCGGAAAUAGCCACCAAUGGUGUCAAUCUUUGCAUCCCCUUCUAAGUCGUCUACCAAAUGAUCGCGUAGGAAUUCCAUUUCUUCAAUUUGUUCCGUUAGCGGGGUUGUCUCAUUGUUCUCCAAAUAUUGUUUUAACAUAUCUUUACGUGCUAGGUACUUCUUCUGACAUUAUGCCACGGUCGGUGAAAGUUGUAUCUGUACAGCGACUGUUGCUUGUCCACUUUUCUGCUCUGUAGAUACCAGGCAGAAUGGAAAAAUCGUGGGAAUUUAAUUCUUCGUCAAUUAUAAAUUAUUUAUCUUCUUUCACAGAUAGUGUGAAAAAUUGGAAUGUUCGUUCACUGGACGGCUCUGGUUUUUGGUUUCUUACGAUCGUGGAUAAGUUUUCCCCUAGUCCUUCUAUGUACCGGGUUGUUUAUUGAAAAACGUCAGCCACGGCAGCCACCAAUCGGUAGCGAAAACCGCGUGGACAAGCCUCUCCUCCACCCUAAAACGGCCACGAGCCGUUCUUUCGAUCCUUUAUGGCGUUCCGUGGGUGUGAGCAAUUUAUUUUAUUCUCUGAAACGGAGGUACAAAUUUUAGAUGUUGUUGGAGGCGCUCUUAAACACUUGCUCUCCUAUCUCUUAGCUAAGCCUGAUCGUACCGAACACUCUCCGAACGUGAUGCAGCGGUGGUGUUAGGAAGAAUUCUCAUCUUGUGCUCGAGUGGAAUCUCUUCCUCUUCUAGGCUGCUCGCUAUCGUUCGAUGUCGUUGCGGUGUCGUUCAGACAAAGUCUUCAUCUGGCGGUGAGUUGUGUAUUCCUUCUAUGGAUCGUUCUAAGUUUAUAGAACAGCAUCUUUAGCCAACAUGGACACUUUGUUCUAACACAAAAUAGAGUCAAAGAUGCGCAUUCCAGCAAUCCGACCACGUACAAGAACCGUGCUGUCGAUCGUUUGUUGCGAGCUACCUGUAUGGAAUAUACAUUAAAACACGAAUUAAUAAUCAUCUAUAAUUAUUACAUUUAUAAUGUAAUUUUAAUUAUAAUAAUACCUCGCGAGAGAUAUAUAUUAAAACUAACCUUCACAAAAGGACGCUUCAUUUUUUAUGACUUUUUAUUUUUUUUGGGACAGCUACCAGCUACACUAAAUCACGAUGAGGAUCUCACGUGCCUCAGCAAUGAUUUCGUUCUUUACAGUUCUAAUGAGUUGCGGGUACAUUGGCUCAUUUUCGAAGCACUCAAAAAGUUUGAUCCCGUGUUUUAUAACAGAUAAACGGAUCAAUCGAUUUCCAAAAUAUUUGUUUGUUUAUUGAAAAUCGUCAGCCACGGCAGCCACCAAUGGCAAGCGAAAACCGCGUGAACAAGCCUCUCCUCCACCCUAAAACGGCGACGAGACGUGCUGUCGAUACUGUAUGGCGUUCCGUGGGCGUGAGCAAUUUAUUUUAUUCUCUGAAACGGAGGUACAAAUUUUAGAUGUUGUUGGAGGCGCUCUUAAACACUUGCUCUCCUAUCUCUUAGCUAAGCCUGAUCGUACCGAACACUCUCCGAACGUGAUGCAGCGGUGGUGUUAGGAAGAAUUCUCAUCUAGUGCUCGAGUGGAAUCUCUUCCUCUUCUAGGCUGCCCGCUAUCGUUCGAUGUCGUUGCGGUGUCGUUCAGACAAAGUCUUCAUUAUUACACUUAUAAUGUAAUUUUAAUUAUAAUAAUACCUCGCGAGAGAUAUAUAUUAAAACUAACCUUCACAAAAGGACGCUUCAUUUUUUAUGACUUUUUAUUUUUUUCUUUUUGUUUAUUUUUCUAUAACAAAAAACUUUGAGGUCUUCGUGGCGUACCGGAACGAUGAAAAACCAGCAGCUGCAGCUACCAGACAGCUGCUUUUCUUCCUUUCUUUCUUUCCAAAACACUUUUCUUUCUUUCUUUUUGUUUAUUUUUAUAUAACAAAAAACUUUGAGGCCUUCGUGGCGUACCGGAACCACGAUGAGGAUCUCACGUGCCUCAGCAAUGAUUUCGCUCUUUACAGUUCUAAUGAGUUGCGGGUACAUUGGCUCAUUUUCGAAGCACUCAAAAAGUUUGAUCCGGUGUUUUAUAACAGAUAAACGGAUCAAUCGAUUUCCAAAAUAUUUGAUUGUUUAUUGAAAAUCGUCAGCCACGGCAGCCACCAAUAGCAAGCGAAAACCGCGUGAACAAGCCUCUCCUCCACCCUAAAACGGCGACGAGACGUGCUGUCGAUCCUUUAUGGCGUUCCGUGGGCGUGAGCAAUUUAUGUUGUUGGAGGCGCUCUUAAACACUUGCUCUCCUAUCUCGUAGCUAAGCCUGAUCGUACCGAACGCUCUCCGAACGUGAUGCAGCGGUGGUGUUAGGAAGAAUUCUCAUCUAGUGCUCGAGUGGAAUCUCUUCCUCUUCUAGGCUGCUCGCUAUCGUUCGAUGUCGUUGCGGUGUCGUUCAGACAAAGUCUUCAUCUGGCGGUGAGUUGUGUAUUCCUUCUAUGGAUCGUUCUAAGUUUAUAGAACAGCCUCUUUAGCCAACAUGGACACUUUGUUCUAACACAAAAUAGAGUCAAAGAUGCGCAUUCCAGCAAUCCGACCACGUACAAGAACCGUGCUGUCGAUCGUUUGUUGCGAGCUAUCUGUAUGGAAUAUACAUUAAAACACGAAUUAAUAAUCAUCUAUGAUUAUUACACUUAUAAUGCAAUUUUAAUUAUAAUAAUACCUCGCGAAAGAUAUAUAUUAAAACUAACCUUUCACAAAAGGACGCCUCAUUUUUUAUGACAACACGACAGCUUGACAGCUUGACAGUGGGCCACGAGGCGAGUUUGACAAUUUGACGGACCUAAGCGGUAUAACAGUUUGCUGACCAAUUCGAGCUCCAAGAUUCGAAAGUAAAAUUAAAAACGAACUUCCGGUUUGAUUCAAUUAAAAAAAAUAUAUUCUAAAUCUAAAAACUCUGUGUUAAAUUCAGUAAGAAUCGUAUAAAACAGUUAAAUUAAUUUUAGAGGCAAACUCUAAAACAUUAAUGCAAACCUCUGUGCCGAUAUAUUUCAACCCUCGAAGCCGGUAGUGUAAACUAUUGUUUUCAUAGGAGUCCGCUGUACGUGUGAUACUCGAGAUACGCAAUUGUGCUCGGUACCGUACUAUAAUAAUCAGAUAAUUAAUGUAAUGCUAAACUAACGCGCUAACCGUUAGCCAAAAAUCUGGAAGCCACGGCGCCACCAAUCGCAACCUAAAAGGGGCGAGGACAAGCCUCCCAUCUAUCCGAACAAAAAGACUUUUCUUUCUUUCUUUUUUUAUUUUUAUAUAAAAAGACUUUGAGGUCUAGCUCAUUCGCUUCUUUAACAAGAAGACGAGCCGUGCUGCUAACAACUUUACUUUUAUUUAUUUUUACAAUAAAAAAAACCGUACUGUCGAUUGUUGGUAGCGUUCCGGAGGGAUGCGGAAACACAGCCCGUUCCCGCUGCUGAAAGGUAACCAGCUACCAGCUACCAGCAACCUUCCAGCAAUCCAGCAAAAAAUGAUCGCGUAGGAAUUCCAUUUCUUCAAUUUGUUCCGUUAGCGGGGUUGUCUCAUUGUUCUCCAAAUAUUGUUUGCGCAUUCCAGCAAUCCGACCACGUACAAGAACCGUGCUGUCGAUCGUUUGUUGCGAGCUACCAGCUACACUAAAUCACGAUGAGGAUCUCACGUGCCUCAGCAAUGAUUUCGCUCUUUACAGUUCUAAUGAGUUGCGGGUACAUUGGCUCAUUUUCGAAGCACUCAAAAAGUUUGAUCCGGUGUUUUAUAACAGAUAAACGGAUCAAUCGAUUUCCAAAAUAUUUGAUUGUUUAUUGAAAAUCGUCAGCCACGGCAGCCACCAAUAGCAAGCGAAAACCGCGUGAACAAGCCUCUCCUCCACCCUAAAACGGCGACGAGACGUGCUGUCGAUCCUUUAUGGCGUUCCGUGGGCGUGAGCAAUUUAUGUUGUUGGAGGCGCUCUUAAACACUUGCUCUCCUAUCUCGUAGCUAAGCCUGAUCGUACCGAACGCUCUCCGAACGUGAUGCAGCGGUGGUGUUAGGAAGAAUUCUCAUCUAGUGCUCGAGUGUAAUCUCUUCCUCUUCUAGGCUGCUCGCUAUCGUUCGAUGUCGUUGCGGUGUCGUUCAGACAAAGUCUUCAUCUGGCGGUGAGUUGUGUAUUCCUUCUAUGGAUCGUUCUAAGUUUAUAGAACAGCCUCUUUAGCCAACAUGGACACUUUGUUCUAACACAAAAUAGAGUCAAAGAUGCGCAUUCCAGCAAUCCGACCACGUACAAGAACCGUGCUGUCGAUCGUUUGUUGCGAGCUAUCUGUAUGGAAUAUACAUUAAAACACGAAUUAAUAAUCAUCUAUAAUUAUUACAUUUAUAAUGUAAUUUUAAUUAUAAUAAUACCUCGCGAAAGAUAUAUAUUAAAACUAACCUUCACAAAAGGACGCCUCAUUUUUUAUUACAACACGACAGCUUGACAGCUUGACAGUGGGCCACGAGGCGAGUUUGACAAUUUGACGGACCUAAGCGGUAUAACAGUUUGCUGACCAAUUCGAGCUCCAAGAUUCGAAAGUAAAAUUAAAAACGAACUUCCGGUUUGAUUCAAUUAAAAAAAAUAUAUUCUAAAUCUAAAAACUCUGUGUUAAAUUCAGUAAGAAUCGUAUAAAACAGUUAAAUUAAUUUUAGAGGCAAACUCUAAAACAUUAAUGCAACCCUCUGUGCCGAUAUAUUUCAACCCUCGAAGCCGGUAGUGUAAACUAUUGUUUUCAUAGGAAGCCGCUGUACGUGUGAAACUCGAGAUACGCAAUUGUGCUCUGUACCGUACUAUAAUAAUCAGAUAAUUAAUGUAAUGCUAAACUAACGCGCUAACCGUUAGCCAAAAAUCUGGAAGCCACGGCGCCACCAAUCGCAACCUAAAAGGGGCGAGGACAAGCCUCCCAUCUAUCCGAACAAAAAGACUUUUCUUUCUUUCUUUUUUUAUUUUUAUAUAAAAAGACUUUGAGGUCUAGCUCAUUCGCUUCUUUAACAAGAAGACGAGCCGUGCUGCUAACAACUUUACUUUUAUUUAUUUUUACAAUAAAAAAAACCGUACUGUCGAUUGUUGGUAGCGUUCCGGAGGGAUGCGGAAACACAGCCCGUUCCCGCUGCUGAAAGGUUACCAGCUACCAGCUACCAGUAACCUUCCAGCAAUCCACACGUACACGUACACGAACCGUGCUUUCGAUCCUUCGUGGCGUACCGGGACCACUUUAGGGAAAUUAUACGGUUCCCUAACACUAGCACAGGGGCUUCGGAUGAGCUUCAGAAAGGCGUCUUACUCCGUUGAGGUUCAGGAUACAAGAGCUAACGAAAAUCGAACAACACAAUCAUGGAAUUGAUAAACACAAUUAUGCGCUUUUUUCAAAUGUCUUCAGAUACCAUCAAGAAAUCCUACAGACAUCCGAAACGCCGUCUCAAAAUACACUAGCGUAUUUAGCCCACCACGAAAAAUAAUUUGUGAUUUAGAAACUACAUUUAGAAGAAGCCUUCAGCUACAAACUUUCUCUUCCGAAUCCAAUGGCCAAGUAGAGCAAACGCACAGUACCAUUAAAGAACCGAUCAAUACAAACAAACAAACAUUCGGAGAUUUUAGUUCACCAGAGUUAGUGAACAUGGUAACAGCCUUAUACAACGAUAACUGCACACUCCGCUAUUGGGUUCGCCGCUAACGAAAUAUUAUUCAACUGAUUGAAUACAACAGAAUAAAACCAUUUUCACAUUUCAACAUAAGAGAUGAAGAACGCUUACAAUAAAGUAUCUUAAAAAAAUACAAAACACCCAUAGAGACAUGUAAAGAUACAAUGACAAUAAGGCAAACCCAUCAGAAAUAGAGACAGAGAAGGCAGUCUACGUAAAGAAAGGUGUAAAAAAACAUAAGAUCCCAGAUUCAAUGCGAAAACAUGUAUGAAUAUCAAUAACAAUAGGGCAGUACCAAUAGACAUAACAGUCGAGAACAACAAAAACAAAUUUAACGAUCAAAAUCAUCAUUUUAUUGUCAUUACGGAAGUAACCAAUAACUAAAGUAAUCAUAAAAAGAAAGGAAAAAAGCAAUCAUCGCUAAUCCUACCAACAUUAGCAUUACUUAAAAUGAAAAGCUACGGCCAAGAAAUAGAAAUUACGUUUUUAAAUAGGCAACCAUUAUUGUUUUGUCAAAACCAAAUCAUGUAGAAUACAUUUCGGAACAUGAAAAUUAUAUUAACACACUAAUAACCCAUCUGUGGAUAUGCGAAACAACUAACAAUUACAUUUAAUGAACUAAAUCGUGUGAAGAUUAAACAAUUGUACUCGAACUUUAUACAAAUAGUACCAAAACAUUGACUUAGCUGAAGCAUCGAACUCAUCGGUCAACCGUGGAAGUGGAUAACUGGCAGUCCAGGUCGUUGAAUAUUUGCGUCUGAUUAACGCAACAAUGAACAAGCUGGUUGACGGCAACGACCUCCAAUUUAGAAUCAAUGAGAGCAGUUUAACAAACGUUUGCAAUCCUCACCAACUCCAAAGACGAGAUAAUUAAGAGAAAACAUCCGCAUUCUACUGACAUUGAAGCUAUCAAGAGCCCAUAUUUAACAUCAACGGCAUGAUUCACCUCAUAGAAUUCAUCCAAAACACAGCAGUUUGGGUACACGAAUCUGUUACCAACAGUAAACUCCUCACAGCACCACACGAGAUGAGUUUGAUACGUUCCACACUACCAGAACAAGGCGCCGGGAUAGACAUUCCCAGUACAUCCCAGUUAGAAACAGAACAAGCUUCAGAGCUGUAGCUGAACAUCUAAUAUUACUGAAUAAUGGUAACAGCAUCAGCUAACGGAGCAAAUGCGUUCCUAACAAUAGAACAAUCCAUGGGAUCUAUUUGAUCCAUGGGAGUUCUCCAACUGCACAGUUAUAAUUGGGAAAGAUACACCUUCUCAUCAAAAACGCCUUCGAUUACAUCGGAACCAUAUUGAGUGCCCAAGCAGCAAUACCGCCAAAUACCAAUAACCUUUGGCAACAAUGUCAUUAAUAGGAUACGUUAAGCUUCUGCAAUUCAGCAACAUCGAUUACUGGAAGUGGAGUAUACCGGGAGGAACACUGAAUCCCAUCGUAACAAUGCUUACGUUCACAUUUUACCUCGUUAUUUACUGCAGAAGAACAAUAGGGACCAUCGAUAGAGCAUUAAACUCUAAGAAAAGGCGAAUUGCAAAGCGAUACCUUAAACGCGUCUUCACCCGCCGGAGGAGUUACGUGCCCAGCUACUGCCACGUGUGCACGCGCUCCCUAGCAACAGUAACGCAACACCAAUGUGCUGCGUAUCCGGCAACAGCAACCUGAUUGCUAACCUGACGCAUAAUCGAUCGAACCAGCCAACAAGCCAGCCAACCAGCCAGCCAACCAGCCAGCCAACCAGCCAGCCAACCAGCCAGCCAACCAGCCAACCAGCCAGCCAUCCAGCCAGCCAACCAGCCAGUCAACCGACCCGUCAGCGAGCCAACAGUUCGUGAAACACUCCAUGAGUAAAGAAUAAAGUUUUUUAAAACUAA
Long non-coding RNA from Anopheles gambiae (African malaria mosquito), 11980 nucleotides. RefSeq lists it as uncharacterized. The record is from RefSeq and is a predicted model, not a curated record. Lineage: Eukaryota; Metazoa; Arthropoda; Insecta; Diptera; Culicidae. The transcript is spliced from 2 exons.